This 1723-nucleotide long non-coding RNA is filed under the name Heterocephalus glaber (naked mole-rat). RNAcentral describes it as "lncRNA (ENSHGLG00100046918.1)". Lineage: Eukaryota; Metazoa; Chordata; Mammalia; Rodentia; Bathyergidae. The record is from RNAcentral.
GGGUUUCUUAUGACUACAGAGUGAGGAGUGCCACCCUGGUGAUGUCUUCUAAGUUUCCCUUCUCAGCACCAUCUGAGGGUUAAGCUCUUGAAGAAGGUGUUACACAGAUCCUUAGUCAAGUGUUUCUUUAGAAAUAUGUGAUAGAGAUCAUCAAGAAUUCCAUUUAAGAGUUUCUAGGUGAAACCAUCUCCUCCAGUUUCAGACACUUAUGGGUCAUUGUCAUCAUCACCACAUUUGCACUGAAGAGCCGUCAACACUCUAUUUUCAAGCACAUGAGCUUUUAAGAAGCCUGUGUCCCCAGAUAAAUCUGAAAGAGAACUUGGUAACUAUGAUAUCGAUUGGGAUAUGAUGAGUUCACAGUAUUUCAACUUCUUCCACAGUUAUUUCACAAAAACAGGUGCGCAGUGUUAGGAUUGGUGGCGCUCUUCCGACAAAGUCACGUGGGAAAGGGAUACUGUCAAUGCCACUCUGCAGAGGUAGCAGGAAGCACUGCUUGCCACCAGCCACAGGAGCUCUCUCACUCUUAGAAAUGUUGUGGAGCUGCACAGAGGAAGAAUAUCAGUGUCAACAGAUGUGGUGAUCUACCAGUAGGACUCUUGGAACCCGUAACAAUGCAUAUGGAUCUCUUGGGUGGCCUUUUCUCCUGUCUCUGUGAAGCCAUUUCACAUCCUAGGCAAAAUUACAGACAAUGUUAACUGUUAUUUUCUAACUAAAAUUAUGUGGGUUGUUGGACAUUGAAUUUCGAUUGUAGUUUACCCACACUUCACUUUGGCCCCCGCACUGUACCUACUGUGAUAUUUUCUUUCUCAUGUUGAGUCCAGCCUGCAUUGCCUCCUUCAUAGUAAAAUCAGAGUUAAGGGGAGAAAUUAGUGAAUGUGCAACUGGGUCACAGCUUUAAACCUCAAGAAUUCAUACAAAUAAAUCACGCUGUUCUUCUAAGUUAAACUUUGUCUAAGUCUGUUGAUCCUCCAAAAUAACUUUCUAGACAAAAAAAAAUCCACUUUUGUCCUUAGGAAAAUUUUCUAAGCAGGUUCAUUGGUACUGCAGUGCUUACUGACACUGCAAAGGCAGUAGGUGCCAAGGUAUAUUUUAUAUAUCUAGCAUGAAUAUACCAAUCUAUUGAAUAGUUCCUAUUUCAGUUUGUAGUAGUCAUUGGGUAAAUAUUAGGUCAAUGUCUUACUAGUGUGUGUUUAAUUUAGUAUAUGAAUAUACUAUAUAUAUAUACUAUAGUAUAUGAAUAUAUAUAGUAUAUGAAUAUACUAUAUGUGAAUAUACUAUAUAUAUAAUUUAGUAUAUGAAUACAGUUUCUGAUGCAAGAGAAAGGUGAUUCUAAGUUCCAUCUGUGAUUUCCUUCCUUGCUUAUUCUUAUGUUUAUACGUCAUGGACAACUUCAAGUACAACUAUCUUUUCUACAACACCUUUGAUCUAAAAGCAUUAAUAUUAUUAUAACUUCAGAGUCCCUUGAUGAAAAUCAUUAUAGGAAAAGAGAUUCACCAGUAUUUUCUUUGAGCUCUGCAGAACAAAUAGUUCCAACAUAAGACUCCUGUUCCCAGACUGGAAUUGUGGUUCCAUAUGCACCCAGUUCAUCCAUUUUUGAUGGUAUGGAGAGUCAGUUCAGUAAAACAAUCUGAAAGCUCCAUAUUAUAUAAUGGUCCAAACAAUUUAACAAAAUUUCCGGAGAAUUUGAAACAACUAAGGUGUUAAUUCCAGAUAAAUAGCUAAU